UGACUGUAAUGGUCAUAAGGUUAAGGCGAGCUCACGUUCCCUCUUCUUUCUCUCCAAAUUCUUCAAUCUAACGAUUGAAGGCCACCAACAGUGCCCAGUUCGAACACUACGGUGAUAAUCCACUCGUGUAGGAAACUCACGAUGCUGCGGUUGUCCUAAGCAAUGAAGAUGAUUUCUUGAGGGAGGUUUCACUCUGCAGAGAGCUCUUCACCGUGGGGUGGCGGUGCAGGAUUACAUUCGUUGUGUGGUUUGGAGGGUGGAUGAGAUUUGGGUCUCAACUUUU
Molecule: non-coding RNA, 283 nt
Rfam family: Fungal signal recognition particle RNA
Source: Rfam